UACGUAGGGUGCGAGCGUUAAUCGGAAUUACUGGGCGUAAAGCGUGCGCAGGCGGUUCGUUGUGUCGGCGGUGAAAGCCCCGGGCUUAACCCGGGAACGGCCGUUGAAACUGGCGAACUGGAGUGUGGCAGAGGGGGGUGGAAUUCCGCGUGUAGCAGUGAAAUGCGUAGAGAUGCGGAGGAACACCGAUGGCGAAGGCAGCCCCCUGGGCUAACACUGACGCUCAGGCACGAAAGCGUGGGGAGCAAACAGG
This 253-nucleotide ribosomal RNA is filed under the name uncultured bacterium. RNAcentral's name for it is "partial 16S ribosomal RNA". It matches the Rfam family "Bacterial small subunit ribosomal RNA", at positions 524 to 776 of the family's 1533-position model. The record is from RNAcentral.